This 274-nucleotide ribosomal RNA is filed under the name uncultured bacterium. Its description in RNAcentral is "partial 16S ribosomal RNA". It matches the Rfam family "Bacterial small subunit ribosomal RNA", at positions 334 to 605 of the family's 1533-position model. The record is from RNAcentral.
ACGUCCUACGGGACGCAGCAGUGAGGAAUAUUGGUCAAUGGGCGCGAGCCUGAACCAGCCAAGUCGCGUGAGGGAAGACGGUCCUAUGGAUUGUAAACCUCUUUUGUCGGGGAGCAAAAGACGCCACGCGUGGCGUUCCGAGAGUACCCGAAGAAAAAGCAUCGGCUAACUCCGUGCCAGCAGCCGCGGUAAUACGGAGGAUGCGAGCGUUCUCCGGAUUUAUUGGGUUUAAAGGGUGCGGAGGCGGAGGAUCAUGUCGGCGGUAAAAUUGAGA